Molecule: ribosomal RNA, 429 nt
Filed under: uncultured eukaryote
Lineage: Eukaryota
Description: eukaryotic LSU rRNA
Rfam family: Eukaryotic large subunit ribosomal RNA
Source: RNAcentral
CUCAGGAUAGCUGGAACUUAUGAAGAAAGUAGUUUUAUCAGGUAAAGCGAAUGAUUAGAGGCUUUGGGGAAGAAACUUCCUCGACCUAUUCUCAAACUUUUAAAUAGGUAAGAUUUGAAGGAUACUUAAGUGAUCUUUCAAUCUCUUGAAUAUAAAGUUCUUAGUGGGCCAUUUUUGGUAAGCAGAACUGGCGAUGUGGGAUGAACCGAACGUUAAGUUAAAGUGCCAAAAUAAUACGCUCAUGAGAUACCAUAAAAGGUGUUGGUUCAUUUUGACAGCAGGACGGUGGCCAUGGAAGUCGGAACCCGCUAAGGAGUGUGUAACAACUCACCUGCCGAAUGAACUAGCCCUGAAAAUGGAUGGCGCUUAAGCGUAUAACUUAUACUUAACCCUUACUUGAAUUAUUAUAACGAGUAAGGAGUAGGAGGG